This 465-nucleotide ribosomal RNA is filed under the name uncultured Klebsiella sp. RNAcentral's name for it is "bacterial SSU rRNA". It matches the Rfam family "Bacterial small subunit ribosomal RNA", at positions 338 to 795 of the family's 1533-position model. The record is from RNAcentral. Lineage: Bacteria; Pseudomonadati; Pseudomonadota; Gammaproteobacteria; Enterobacterales; Enterobacteriaceae.
CCUACGGGUGGCAGCAGUGGGGAAUAUUGCACAAUGGGCGCAAGCCUGAUGCAGCCAUGCCGCGUGUGUGAAGAAGGCCUUCGGGUUGUAAAGCACUUUCAGCGGGGAGGAAGGCGGUGAGGUUAAUAACCUCAUCGAUUGACGUUACCCGCAGAAGAAGCACCGGCUACCUCCGUGCCAGCAGCCGCGGUAAUACGGAGGGUGCAAGCGUUAAUCGGAAUUACUGGGCGUAAAGCGCACGCAGGCGGUCUGUCAAGUCGGAUGUGAAAUCCCCGGGCUCAACCUGGGAACUGCAUUCGAAACUGGCAGGCUAGAGUCUUGUAGAGGGGGGUAGAAUUCCAGGUGUAGCGGUGAAAUGCGUAGAGAUCUGGAGGAAUACCGGUGGCGAAGGCGGCCCCCUGGACAAAGACUGACGCUCAGGUGCGAAAGCGUGGGGAGCAAACAGGAUUAGAUACCCGAGUAGUC